AUUUACCCCCCAUAGCAGUGGGUAGGAAAUGGUUCUCCUGUUGCACAAGAUGUUGCAAGAUUUCAAGUUUUUUCCAUCCUGCCUGAAAGACACAGGAUCCAUAAAGGUUUUGUUUUUUUUCUCAUUACCGCAGUAAACCAGUUGAUAGCCAAGUCACUGACUUGGCAUAUGGGAGACCCAGCAUCAUGUUCCUGCUCUUUCUGGCUCAGUGUUCUGGCCUCUGGGCUGCUGAACUGGUCUCACUGUUACCAACAAAUAUUUUAUUACUUACAUCCAAUCUCAAAUGACUCCGACAGGAAAGCAACAUCCAAGAGUGGCCUCUUGCCUAGGGGUUAAGAUAUCCCUCUUGGGUUUAGCAGAUCCAAGCUCAGCUCCCUGAUGUGUAUCAGGCCUCGAAAUGUAGGGCUUCUGCACUCCAGCAGAAUGCUGAAACCAUUGGCUGCUCUGAGUGGCCAGUGUUUAUGUGUGUUUUGACCAGAAGCAUCCUGGACCAAAGAAAUCUUUUCCCAGUGGAAGUUCUCUGAAGCCAAUAAGUAUAAACAACCAAAAAACAUUGGGAGAGGCAAGGUGACAGACUAUCAGAAGCAGCUCUCUGAACAAGGAUGGGCUAAGGCUUACUUCUGCCAGCAAUUCAGUUCAGUUUCUGCGCUGUUGUGUCAUUUUGCUAAGAUUUAAUGGAAACAGCUAUAAAUUGUGGUUAUGGUUAGCCAGCAAGAAUGGUAUCUGUCAGGCAAGUUCUGCCACCCUUACUCAUGUGCAGUAUUUCAUUUCACAGGUUGUCUUGGCUAUUUUGCUGGACCAUCCCUGUAAGGCUGCUCUGCCCUGCUCCUCUCUGCCUCCAGCAGUGCUAUUAAGGAAAGGAGGGAGCUCUGAAUUCCUGCAGUCUCUGGUUUGGAGUCCCAGGGGGCAACUCGUGCCUAUUUGUUAAUCCCCCACCCCAAGACACUCUGCUGAGAAUAGUGUCAUUCCUCAAGAUUGUUGUCUCAGACAAACUGGAAAUGACUUCAUUUAGAUCAUGAAAAUACCCAACUGUCAGGACACUGGAUUUGGAUGUCACUGCAGACAUAUAUGCCCAGCCAUUCAGGUUCUCAGAGGAAAUUUCUGACACACCUUUGCUGUGCAAAUGAACACCACAUAGUUAGUGCUGACCAAGGCAGCAAGAUUUACUCAAUUCCAUGACACUUAAGUCUCUGCUCUGUGAUUUUAUGUGGAGGUCUGGUUUGGAAGUACCCACACACAAAGCAUAGACAUGUAUUGGAUGGGGCAGUUGUUGACAAACAGACAUGACUCAUUGCUCAUGCCUGAAUGCUCUUUGUUCCUGAAGGUGAGUGUGGUCACUUCACUUGGGAGUGAAGCUGGUGACCUCAGGGACUUGGAAAAGUGCAAACUCAGCUUUUCUGCACCUUGAGAAUUCACAAGAAGGUUCUGAAGCAAUUUCUUAGGAACAGAGUCUUGCGUUGUCUGUGAAGCUUGGGGCUAGUGUGUGGGGAAAUUGUUCAGUGCUUGGUUCUAAUGUAGAUGUUAUAGGUGGCCAUGAGAAGUUCAUUCACUCUAUUUCUUUGAUUUCCCAGCUGUAAAAGCAUGCGGUAACGCACUGGCACAGGCUGCCCAGGGAGUUGGUGGAGUCACCGUCCCUGGAGGCAUCGAACAACCGUGGAGAUGUGGCACUAAGCAAUAUGGGGUAGUGGGCAUAGUGGGGUUGGGUUGACGGUCAGACAUGAUGAUCUUAGAGAGCUUUUCCAACCUUAAUAAUUCUUUGAUUCUGUAAAAUGGAUUAAUAGCUUCUUACUCAUGUGGCUACUAGCUAGCAAGUUCUUCAGGUAAGGAGUCAGGCUUGUACAGGUACUGGCUUUGCUCUUCAGCGGGAUUCUCCUACAAAAUGAAUAUAUAAUAUCAACAACUAAUUGGGGUAGGAUGGAUUUUUGGAAGAACUUCUUCCAGAAGCUGCUUGGAUUCAAAGAAAGUACAUUUUGUUAAUCUUCAUUUGUGUGGUUUCUACCCAUGGGUUAAUACUGAAAAGGUUUUAUCCAAUUCAGGGUAUACAGGGUGCAAAUAUUUCUAUUUGAAUAAUACUGGAGAAUAAAUUUAGAAAUGUUUAAAGAGGGUAUGAAUAC
Long non-coding RNA from Phasianus colchicus (ring-necked pheasant), 2114 nucleotides. The record is from Ensembl. Lineage: Eukaryota; Metazoa; Chordata; Aves; Galliformes; Phasianidae.